UACGUAGGGUGCAAGCGUUAAUCGGAAUUACUGGGCGUAAAGCGUGCGCAGGCGGCUAUGCAAGACAGAUGUGAAAUCCCCGGGCUCAACCUGGGAACUGCAUUUGUGACUGCAUGGCUAGAGUUUGUCAGAGGGGGGUGGAAUUCCACGUGUAGCAGUGAAAUGCGUAGAGAUGUGGAGGAACACCGAUGGCGAAGGCAGCCCCCUGGGACAUGACUGACGCUCAUGCACGAAAGCGUGGGGAGCAAACAGGAUUAGAUACCCUGGUAGUCCACGCCCUAAACGAUGUCGACUAGUUGUCGGGGAUUUACAUCUUCGGUAACGCAGCUAACGCGUGAAGUCGACCGCCUGGGGAGUACGGUCGCAAGAUUAAA
This 374-nucleotide ribosomal RNA is filed under the name uncultured bacterium. Its description in RNAcentral is "bacterial SSU rRNA". It matches the Rfam family "Bacterial small subunit ribosomal RNA", at positions 524 to 898 of the family's 1533-position model. The record is from RNAcentral.